UCCAAAGGGCCUGGGCUCUGGAGCUGGGUU
RNAcentral lists this non-coding RNA (30 nucleotides) under Rattus norvegicus (Norway rat). Lineage: Eukaryota; Metazoa; Chordata; Mammalia; Rodentia; Muridae. The record is from RNAcentral.